GCUUCUUCUCACCUGUUCUUGAAAAUGUUAAGUAUAAGAAUGGAAAUAUUUUUAGCUAGCCAACAAUUUCCUAAAGUCAUUGUGGCCUAAUCCAUCCCAAUCUUGCUCAAACUACUUUUGCUUACUCAUGAACCCAGAUUCAAGAAUGUAUUCUCUUAGUUUUAACAUGAUUCCCUAUGUUGUUUCAGAAGCAUAGAAUCAUUUUUCGAGGUGAAUGUGGUGGGAUAUUUGCAUGGUUCCUGUGACUAAAUU
RNAcentral lists this long non-coding RNA (252 nucleotides) under Elaeis guineensis (African oil palm). RNAcentral's name for it is "long non-coding RNA (EGUI_LNC042395)". Lineage: Eukaryota; Viridiplantae; Streptophyta; Magnoliopsida; Arecales; Arecaceae. The record is from RNAcentral.